GACGAACGCUGGCGGCGUGCUUAACACAUGCAAGUCGAACGGAAAGGCCCUGCUUUUGUGGGGUGCUCGAGUGGCGAACGGGUGAGUAACACGUGAGUAACCUGCCCUUGACUUUGGGAUAACUUCAGGAAACUGGGGCUAAUACCGGAUAGGAGCUCCUGCUGCAUGGUGGGGGUUGGAAAGUUUCGGCGGUUGGGGAUGGACUCGCGGCUUAUCGGCUUGUUGGUGGGGUAGUGGCUUACCAAGGCUUUGACGGGUAGCCGGCCUGAGAGGGUGACCGGCGACAUGGGGACUGAGAUACGGCCCAGACGCCUACGGGAGGCAGCAGUGGGGAAUAUUGCACAAUGGGCGGAAGCCUGAUGCAGCAACGCCGCGUGCGGGAUGACGGCCUUCGGGUUGUAAACCGCUUUCGCCUGUGACGAAGCGUGAGUGACGGUAAUGGGUAAAGAAGCACCGGCUAACUACGUG
RNAcentral lists this ribosomal RNA (468 nucleotides) under uncultured bacterium. Its description in RNAcentral is "partial 16S ribosomal RNA". It matches the Rfam family "Bacterial small subunit ribosomal RNA", at positions 28 to 507 of the family's 1533-position model. The record is from RNAcentral.